RNAcentral lists this ribosomal RNA (496 nucleotides) under uncultured bacterium. RNAcentral's name for it is "partial 16S ribosomal RNA". It matches the Rfam family "Bacterial small subunit ribosomal RNA", at positions 899 to 1397 of the family's 1533-position model. The record is from RNAcentral.
ACUCAAAGGAAUUGACGGGGGCCCGCACAAGCGGUGGAGUAUGUGGCUUAAUUCGAUGCAACGCGAAGAACCUUACCUGGCCUUGACAUGCACGUAGUAGAACCCUGAAAGGGGGACGAGGUAGCAAUACCAGCGUGCACAGGUGCUGCAUGGCUGUCGUCAGCUCGUGUCGUGAGAUGUUGGGUUAAGUCCCGCAACGAGCGCAACCCUUGUGAUUAGUUGCCCCUUAAAAGGCUCUCUAAUCAGACUGCCCUGUCAAACGGGGAGGAAGGUGAGGACGACGUCAAGUCAGGAUGGCCCUUACGGCCAGGGCUGCACACGUACUACAAUGCCCGGUACAGAAGGAAGCAAGACCGCGAGGUGGAGCAAAUCCCAAAAACCGGGCCCAGUUCGGAUUGAAGGCUGCAAUUCGCCUUCAUGAAGCCGGAAUCGCUAGUAAUGGCGCAUCAGCUACGGCGCCGUGAAUACGUUCCCGGGCCUUGUACACACCGCCCGU